Long non-coding RNA from Manacus vitellinus (golden-collared manakin), 390 nucleotides. NCBI's taxonomy places the organism in Eukaryota, Metazoa, Chordata, Aves, Passeriformes, Pipridae. The record is from Ensembl.
GAUUGGAAAAGUAGGUACAUGAGGAUGGAGUAUGUUGCUCGGCUGCACUAAAAAAGGUUAAUAUGAUAAGAAGAGAAGCUCUGCUUGGAGAAUCUUUCUCUGAAGUUUUUGGAUCCAGAUUUGGCCUAAUGAAGUGUGAGAAAGCAUCUGCAGAAGGACUGGAAACUGAGCAGAGGAAAAGUGACAUUUAAAGGCAGUUUUGAGCAUGAGAUGAUAUUUUGGAAGACAACAGAGCAUCAGGAGGAUUCUGGAAUUCUGUGGGAAAGGAAAAGUCCAAGAUUUCUACGAGAUGGAACAUUUUGUGCAGCUUUUUUCAGUUGAUUUUAAAAUGUUCUGUUAUAAAACAAAAUGAAAAAAAACCUCAACAUGGUAAAUAGAAUGUUUCUAUUU